This is a long non-coding RNA of Falco peregrinus (peregrine falcon), 741 nucleotides long. RefSeq lists it as uncharacterized. Lineage: Eukaryota; Metazoa; Chordata; Aves; Falconiformes; Falconidae. The record is from RefSeq and is a predicted model, not a curated record. The transcript has 3 exons.
CCCACAAGUUUCUGAGUAAACAAACAUCUAUCCUCUGUCUUUAAAAUACAAACUCAGCAAUGGACUUGCCAUGGGGGUGAUCGUGAUAAUUUUUAAAGCAGUGUUGUUUCUCUCUAGAGGGAGAAGAAAAAUUGUAAUGAAAACAUAUUUUGGAUGGUCACCCCCCCCCAAAAAAAAAAAAAAAAAAAUCAUCCUGAAGUAAUAGUCCUCUUUUCCAUUGGAAAGACUCUUUGGCAAAGGGAGAAUGAUGCCAGCUUUCUAGCCAAGUGGAAGUCUAGCAGACAACCAGAGAAAACAGAGCUGGAAAAGACAGAAAAUGCGCAGGAUCAAGUAUGCUGUAUUAUUCCAUGAUGGAUGUUUGGACUCUUUUUGAGAGCAUGCACAGUUUUUGGACAUGCAUGGAGAAUGUUCCAUCCCUGUGCUAUCUAUCCCAGACUUCCUUUAUGCUCCUAUUAGAAAGGUGGCUUUUUGGGAGGUGUGGGUUUUUGUUUGGUUUGGGUUUGUUUAUUUUUUUGCCAGUGCCAAGUCUAUAUUUCCCUGUUUCUAUUCCCAACCAUGUUUUUCACCUCAGUCAGAGUGCAGAGUGAUAUAUUCUCUCUCUUCUUUGUCUCUUCUUCUCUGGCAAAGAAAGUCAGUUCCUGAUCCCACCCACCGUUCCACACACACUCCUUCCCCCAAAAUUUUCCCCAAGUACUGGUCAGUAUCGGUAGAGCAGAAAUAUGUCUUUUUUUCUCUUCCCUG